Molecule: non-coding RNA, 30 nt
Filed under: Homo sapiens (human)
Lineage: Eukaryota; Metazoa; Chordata; Mammalia; Primates; Hominidae
Source: RNAcentral
UCGUGGAGUCUGAAGUCAAGUGCUGUAAGA